Long non-coding RNA from Carassius gibelio (silver crucian carp), 2891 nucleotides. RefSeq lists it as uncharacterized. NCBI's taxonomy places the organism in Eukaryota, Metazoa, Chordata, Actinopteri, Cypriniformes, Cyprinidae. The record is from RefSeq and is a predicted model, not a curated record. The transcript is spliced from 11 exons.
CAGGUCUCAAACUCUAGACUGAUUGAUUAGUUAUUGUGUAAGGGAAGUGAAAAGUAUAAAUAAGGACUAACAAAUGAUGUUGUUCUUGCAGAUGAUAAUUUGCAGAAUGAGCGCUCGAAGGUAAGUGCAUAAGUGCCCCAGACUGGGUCAGUCUGUGGAUCUGCACUAUGCAUUCAUGAUUGUCAACGUUUCCAGUGUCUGGUUCCAAAGACAAAUGAACAUUGAAUUAUACUUUUGCAUAGCCCAAAAACGUCACUACUACAUCUAUUUGUUGCUAUAUUAAUACUUCAAGCAUAAUAUUGGCCCACAUAAGUAUGGACACUAAAGCAUUUCUCAUGUUCUGUACUUUAAAUUUGAAAUUACACAAAAGACAAUGUGGAUACAUGAUGUUUUGAUGCAAGUAGGAAAGACUUUUGUUUCUCAUCAAAACAGUGCUAUAAAGUAGAGUAAGGUAAUUACUUAAACUAUAAAGAGAUUAAUACACAUAGCUUAUGUUGGUAGCAUGAGCAUGAUGGUUUGAGGCUGACUUGAUAACUCUGACUUUAGUCUAAUAACUAAUCCAUACUGCAUGACCGUAACAAAGACAAGUUUGGUUUCCAAACCUGCAUUUAUUUGUGGGCACCCUGUCAUAUUUACAUUUAAAAGGUUUGUGAUGUAUUUUCAUUAUAUUGUUUCAAAGUACUGGUGUACAGAACAAAAGAAAUUCAUUUUCAACAUGAAAAUCUUAUCCCUAGUGUCAUUCUGUCUGAAGUAAUGGACCAUUCCAGGUUACUUAAAUCCAAAUUAAAUUAUCAACUUUUUUUAUAGUAUUGCAUUUUUUUUUUUUAUAUAUAUAAUUUCUGGUACACUGAUUGUUAUAUUUGGUUCAACAGUUGCAGGCCAGGAUUGACAAAUUAAAAGCACCACAAUCGGUGUGAAACUCUGUAUGAAUCUACGGCUGAGAAGCGAAAUGCUCUUCAAAGACAGCGAACCUUACUCCUACUGCAAUUGGCAAACUUGGAUAAAAUGCUGGGCCCAGAAUCACAUCCAGUCACUUAAACAGCAGAAGAUUCUGUGAUACCCUCACCAACAGACACACAGGUAUGGCCAGAAAUUGACCAUGCAUCUCCAACCAGCGAAUGUGUACCACCACUGGAAAGAACGGAGUGUAUUUGUUGCCUUCCUUCACAACAUGGACACAGAUUCCAGCUCUGCAGAAGAUGGGAAUGUGUCCCACUCCAAUUCCAAGCUGGGCCCAGAAUCACAUCCAGUCACUUAAACAGCAGAAGAUUCUGUGAUACCCUCACCAACAGACACACAGGUAUGGCCAGAAAUUGACCAUGCAUCUCCAACCAGCGAAUGUGUACCACCACUGGAAAGAACGGAGUGUAUUUGUUGUCUUCCAAAUCAACAUGGACUAGGGUUAGGGUUCUUAACAUGAACGACACCGAAAUGGACCAACUUGCUGAUUUCCUGGGACAUGAUAUUCGUAUCCACAGGAAAUAUUACAGAUUACCCGAGGGAACACUAUUAACAGGAGUGCGUUGAGCCUGAUCCUGGGAUGGAGAGUGAAACAGAACUGUCAGAUCAUUCUCAUGAUGUGACGUCAAGUGAGACAGGCACUUCAGGAGUGAAUAGCAGCAGGCCAGUAAACAUGAAUGAAGGAUCUCCAGAGAGGUCACGGGAGGUCAUGAAAGUAACAUCAGUUCCUAGGAAGAGAAAGUGGAGUGAGGUGGAGAUUGCGGCUGUAGAAGAGACAAUGAUGAAAUGUAUUCACUCGGGAGUUACUCCUGGAAAAGUCGACUACAUUGCAUGCAUUACAGCAGCCCCCAAAGCCCUCGGUGAACGAGACUGGCAGGCGAUGAAGUAUUAUAUAAAAAACAGAAUCACAGCAUAUGAGAGAAAGACCACUAAAAAGUAAGGUUGAUUUUGGUUGUUGAUUCCGUUUUUGCGUUUUAGUUGAAUUAUAAUAUUUUUUUUUUGGUCUCAAUACUAGGGCUGCACGAUAUUGGGGAAAAAGGACAUUGCGAUAUCUUAUUUUUCUGCGAUAUAUAUUGCGAUAUGAUAUCUAAUCUAAUUUUUUCUUACAAACAAAAAUGGCAUGAGCACACAUACAUUCUCAUUUUAAAUGAUUUAAACAUCAGAGUAUUGUUUAAAUUAGAGUAAAUUAUUUGUUUGUAACUUUAGGAUAUGGUUUGAAUUGUUAACAUUAACUAACAUGAACUUACCAUGAGCAAUACUUGUGUUACUAUAUUUUUUAAUCUUUGUUUAUCUUAGUUAUCUUAAACACAGCUGUUCAUUGUUUGGUAAUGUUACUUCACAGUAGGGAUGCACCGGUUGACCGGCCAUUAAUCGGAACCGGCCGGUUUUUGCUUAAAAUACGCAAUCGCCCGUUUUUGGUGUUUUUCCGGCCGAUUUUUCCGGAAGUGCGCUCGCGUGCACAGACUACAUUGUAAUCGUUUGCUAUGUAAUUUGUGUGGAAGAGUAUUUCGAAAUCUGUGCGCAGGACACAGGCAGCCGAUCAGUACCGGAAAUGCAGAGCUUCAUGUCUGAGGCACAGAUGGCAGGAAGUGAACAGCCCUGUUGUACUGCCGCACAAAUAAGAGCCUUUCCUGCACACUGAAGCUGCGCAAGCGUAUACUGUAUCUGUCCGCGCCCUGAACACGAGUAGACCGUGAAGAGAUGUUCAGCUCAACUUCUCACGUGUUGGAUGAGAAACGAAACGGACUAAACUGUGACAAAACAGAAUUAUUUUUUAUUUAUUUAUUUUACUUUUUAUUAUUAUUAUUAGAACUUGCAUUCAUGUUUGAAAAGCCAGAAAUAAACUUCAGUUCUGAAUUAGGAUGAUUAUUUUUAUUUUACCCUAAAAUAGACUUAAUUUAAUUUAAAAAUCAUCUGCUGUAGCACACUGA